This 69-nucleotide transfer RNA is filed under the name Rostratula benghalensis (greater painted-snipe). RNAcentral describes it as "tRNA-His". It matches the Rfam family "tRNA". From Rfam's summary of the family: Transfer RNA (tRNA) molecules are approximately 80 nucleotides in length. Their secondary structure includes four short double-helical elements and three loops (D, anti-codon, and T loops). The record is from RNAcentral. Lineage: Eukaryota; Metazoa; Chordata; Aves; Charadriiformes; Rostratulidae. RNAcentral also lists the same sequence under 1 other name.
GCAAGCAUAGUUUAAACCAAACAUUAGACUGUGAUUCUAAAAAUAGGAGUUAAACCCUCCUUGCUUACC